GACGAACGCUGGCGGCGUGCCUAACACAUGCAAGUCGAACGGAAAGGCCCUGCUCUUGUGGGGUGCUCGAGUGCCGAACGGGUGAGUAACACGUGAGUAUCCUGCCCCUGACUUUGGGAUAACUUCAGGAAACUGGGGCUAAUACCGGAUAGGAGCUCCUGCUGCAUGGUGGGGGUUGGUAAGUUUCGGCGGUUGGGGAUGGACUCGCUGCUUAUGGGCUUGUUGGUGUGGUAGUUGCUUACCAAGGCUUUGACGGAUAGCCGGCAUGGGAGGGGGACCGGGGACAAUGCGACUGAGAUAGGGACCAGACGCGUACGGGAGGCAGCAGGGGGGAGUAUGACACAGUGGGCGGGAGCGUGAUGCAGCGACGCCGCGAGCGGGAUACCCGCCUACGGGUGAUAAACAGCUGUCGCCGGUGACGAAGAGUGAGUGACGGUAAUGAGUAAAGAAGCACCGGCUAACUACGUG
Molecule: ribosomal RNA, 468 nt
Filed under: uncultured bacterium
Lineage: Bacteria
Description: partial 16S ribosomal RNA
Rfam family: Bacterial small subunit ribosomal RNA
Source: RNAcentral